AGAGUUUGAUCCUGGCUCAGAACGAACGCUGGCGGCGUACUUAACACAUGCAAGUCGGACGAGAAAGGAGACUUCGGUCUCUGAGUACAGUGGCGCACGGGUGCGUAACACGUAAGUAAUCUACCCCGAACCCUGGGAUAACCCUCCGAAAGGAGGGCUAAUACUGGAUAGGGUCCCCGAGGUAUAGGACGCGGGGGGAAAACGGGCCUCUGUUUCAUGCUCGUAGUUCGGGAUGAGCUUGCGGCCCAUUAGCUAGUUGGUAAGGUAAUGGCCUACCAAGGCAACGAUGGGUAGCUGGUCUGAGAGGAUGAUCAGCCACACUGGCACUGAGACACGGGCCAGACUCCUACGGGAGGCAGCAGUGGGGAAUUUUGCGCAAUGGGCGAAAGCCUGACGCAGUAACGCCGCAUGGAGGAUGAAGGCCUUCGGGUUGUAAACUCCUGUCAGGAGGAACGACGGGGAAAGGGUGAUAAAUCCUUUCCUCCAGACGGUACCUCCAAAGGAAGCCCCGGCUAAUUCCGUGCCAGCAGCCGCGGUAAU
This 540-nucleotide ribosomal RNA is filed under the name uncultured soil bacterium. RNAcentral's name for it is "bacterial SSU rRNA". It matches the Rfam family "Bacterial small subunit ribosomal RNA", at positions 8 to 524 of the family's 1533-position model. The record is from RNAcentral.